GAGAUCUUAGCUUAAUUAAAGUGCCUGAGUUGCAAUCAGGUGAUGCAAAUUAGAGUUUUGUGGGUCUUC
RNAcentral lists this transfer RNA (69 nucleotides) under Cnemaspis paripari. RNAcentral's name for it is "tRNA-Ala". It matches the Rfam family "tRNA". Rfam says of the family: Transfer RNA (tRNA) molecules are approximately 80 nucleotides in length. Lineage: Eukaryota; Metazoa; Chordata; Lepidosauria; Squamata; Gekkonidae. The record is from RNAcentral.